Molecule: non-coding RNA, 112 nt
Organism: Xylaria digitata
Lineage: Eukaryota; Fungi; Ascomycota; Sordariomycetes; Xylariales; Xylariaceae
Source: the annotation of a GenBank genome assembly
GGUGAGAUGGCCGAGUGGUUAAGGCGGUAGACUCAAGAGGCUUCUCUUUACCUGUUUAACAGGUAGCAUUCUACUGGAGCAAUCCGCAGGGGUUCGAAUCCCCUUCUCAUCA